ACGCAUACAUACCUGCCUCCACGUACUUUAAAAAUCGAAUUACUCUCAAAGUUGGUAUAUUAAAAGAUAUUGAUUAUUUGUGUUAUGCGAAUAUAGCACGUCGAUUAAUAAUUUCGAACAGAUAAUAACGAACCGUGCUGCGAGAGAGUGACGGAAAAAGGAAAAAGAGCAGAGUCGGUUUAUAUGGAUCGAAUCUGUAUAUUUGAGAGAACAUAGAAAGAGGCAAGGAGGUGAAAGGAAGGUGGAAAGGGUGGAAGAAAGGAGGGAAGGAGAAUGGAGGGAGGAAGGAGGAACUGAAGGAAGGGAACAAGAACGAAAGAAUAGCAAUAGAUGGCGGAGGAGAGGAAAGAGGGGAAGGAAGCAGAGAAACGCAGAUGGGGCAAGCGUGGAUGAACGAAUGCCACGCCACAAAUUCUCAAUCGCCCGAGUUACAUUCCUCUCGAGAUUUCUCGUUUCUUACGAUUGAACGUUUUAAACGAAACGGAAAUGCGACAUAUUUGAACGCCUGGGCAAGAAAUCGGUAACAGAAGUAAACAAUUCUGCUAAUUAUCAAGUAUCAAGAGAUGAUUAUGUAUAUUACCUACUUGAAUGCAUAUUAUGUUCGCAACGUAUACAACGGAAUAUGGAUGCGUUAAAUUUCAGCCUAAUUAUUACAUAUUUCAACACGGUUUAUCGAAAUAAAUCAGGGAGAAAUUUUACACUCGUAUAAUACUAGAAAUUACAUUCGCGACGGUGUAUUCAGAAUUACGUAUAUGUAUAGACGUUUAAAAUGAAACUGAAUAAUAAACGUAACGGUGCGUAUAAAGUAUAAAAGGAAAUUUAUGAUAAAAUAUCGCUGAAUUUCUACUUUUAAAGGAAAA
RNAcentral lists this unclassified non-coding RNA (860 nucleotides) under Bombus terrestris (buff-tailed bumblebee). RNAcentral's name for it is "misc RNA ENSBTSG00005034374.1". The record is from RNAcentral. Lineage: Eukaryota; Metazoa; Arthropoda; Insecta; Hymenoptera; Apidae.